RNAcentral lists this long non-coding RNA (348 nucleotides) under Capsella grandiflora. RNAcentral's name for it is "long non-coding RNA (CGRA_LNC000196)". Lineage: Eukaryota; Viridiplantae; Streptophyta; Magnoliopsida; Brassicales; Brassicaceae. The record is from RNAcentral.
AAAAUUGUUACUAUUUCCAUAUAUAAAACACUGAUUUCUAAAAAUAGUAUAUCUAAACCAAAAAAAAAAAAUUUGACUUUAUUACAAGUUCAUAAAUUUAUACUCUAUUUGAUAAAGUUUUGAAAUCCGCUACUCUUUACAAGUAAGAAAGAUCAGAGAGAGACACCAAAAAGAUCAGAGAGAUACUUCAAACUGAAGAAAAAAAUUAAGGGUUUGUCUUCUUUGAUCUGUGUUCUUUAACUUUUCUUCUUUUUAUGGGUUUGGCUUUGGGACUAACCUUUGAUCUAACCUUUGGGUUUCAAGAUUCUUGAAAAGCUAAUGAAGCUUUGUUGAAUUUGAAAAGGAAAC